CGGGGUUCCUCACCAAAACACAAGCGCCUGUCAGUCACCAGGCUUCUAAACAGCCGGGACUCAGCCAGCCACCUGCAAAGUCGCUGAGCCAUCUGCCAGCCACGCUUGGUGGCCAUUCCAAUCAAGGCCACAGGCUGUGCCCCUAGGGACAGCCUCAGAGCCCAGGGUUGUCCUCAGACACCCAUGAGGCAUAGCAGGGACCUGGGCCACCCUGGCCACUGACUGUGCUGGCCGCAGGGAUGGGAGUCUGCACCGCGUCGGAUGUGGGGACGCCCGGCCUCUGCCCUCCCAGGUGUGUGGCCGGGAGGCAAG
This 312-nucleotide long non-coding RNA is filed under the name Homo sapiens (human). Its description in RNAcentral is "HSALNT0246377". The record is from RNAcentral. Lineage: Eukaryota; Metazoa; Chordata; Mammalia; Primates; Hominidae.